RNAcentral lists this long non-coding RNA (991 nucleotides) under Bos indicus x Bos taurus (hybrid cattle). RNAcentral describes it as "lncRNA (ENSBIXG00005020839.1)". Lineage: Eukaryota; Metazoa; Chordata; Mammalia; Artiodactyla; Bovidae. The record is from RNAcentral.
CCCGAGGCAUGUGGGAUCUUAGUUCCCUGACCAGGGAUUGAAACUGUGUGCCCUGCAUUGGAAGGCAGAUUGUUAACCACUGGACCACAAGGGAAGUCCCCUAAUCAUUAACUCUUGAGUCAGCCUUUUAGUUCAAAAGAUACGGACACAGAGGCUUGUAUACGGUUUCAAGUCCUAUUUCCGCUUCCUCAAUGGGAUGGUGGAUUUAUGGGUAGGAUGGAAGGAAGGAAGUGUUCAUCAUUGACUGGAUAGAUGUAUGAACAGCUGAGUUGGUGGGUAAACAGAUGAACUUAGGGACAGGUGUAUGGACAGGUGAUUGGGUGGACAGAUUAUUAGAAGAAUGAUUGAUAAGGGUACUGAAUUCUACCCAGGCAUUCUGUCCCUAAGCCUAUUACCUGUCAGGACUCAACAUUUCUACCUCUUCCUAAUUUCCCUGCAGAGACACUUCCCCAGCCCAAUGUCACAGUCAACAACUCAGCCCCAGGAGCAUGUGGAAUCCAUCAGCCUGCACAGCUUGAACCCAAAGAGCUCUGUGGCCAUCCAGUGGUACAUCCGGGGCCAGAAGCUCUUCACUGGGGGCCACAGGGAGCUGUCCUCUGACCACAGGAUACUGUAUGGAACAUCACCAGGAAUGACUCGGGCUUCUACCAGUGUGAGAGCUGCAACUCAGCUACCAGCAGCAUCAGCAACCCUAUUCUCAUCAAAGUCAUUUCCCAAGAAUCCUGUGGAGUUCACCUUUGAAAUAUUCUUUCAGAGGAAAAAUACUCUCUAAAAUGCAUCUAGGUAAUGCAUGAGACAGAGUGCUCAGGGCUGGUGCACUGGGAUGACCCUGAGGGAUGGGAUGAGGAGGGAGGUGGGAGGGAGGGUCAGGAUGGGGAACACAGGUACACCCAUGGCUAAUUCAUGUGAAUGUAUGGCAAAAACCACCACAAUAUUGUAAAGUAAUUAGCCUCCAAUUAAAAUAAAUCUUUUUUAAAAAGAAAGAAAAAAA